GUCUCUGUAGCUCAUUUGGUUUGAGCGCCGCAUGGAAGCGCAUGCAGGGCCGCAGGUUCAAUUCCUGCCAGGAACC
This is a non-coding RNA of Paramuricea clavata, 76 nucleotides long. The record is from the annotation of a GenBank genome assembly. Lineage: Eukaryota; Metazoa; Cnidaria; Anthozoa; Malacalcyonacea; Plexauridae.